GAUGAACGCUGGCGGCGUGCCUAAUACAUGCAAGUCGAGCGAACAGACGAGGAGCUUGCUCCUCUGACGUUAGCGGCGGACGGGUGAGUAACACGUGGAUAACCUACUUAUAAGACUGGGAUAACUUCGGGAAACCGGAGCUAAUACCGGAUAAUAUAUUGAACCGCAUGGUUCAUUAGUGAAAGACGGUUUUGCUUUCACUUAUAGAUGGAUCCGCGCCGCAUUAGCUAGUUGGUAAGGUAACGGCUUACCAAGGCGACGAUGCGUAGCCGACCUGAGAGGGUGAUCGGCCACACUGGAACUGAGACACGGUCCAGACUCCUACGGGAGGCAGCAGUAGGGAAUCUUCCGCAAUGGGCGAAAGCCUGACGGAGCAACGCCGCGUGAGUGAUGAAGGUCUUCGGAUCGUAAAACUCUGUUAUUAGGGAAGAACAAAUGUGUAAGUAACUAUGCACGUCUUGACGGUACCUAAUCAGAAAGCCACGGCUAACUACGUG
This 497-nucleotide ribosomal RNA is filed under the name uncultured bacterium. RNAcentral describes it as "partial 16S ribosomal RNA". It matches the Rfam family "Bacterial small subunit ribosomal RNA", at positions 28 to 507 of the family's 1533-position model. The record is from RNAcentral.